CUCUUCUUGAUAAUUAAUAUGAAGUACAACCUGCCCAAUGAAUUUAAAAAUUUAAAUGGCCGCGGUAAUUUGACCGUGCAAAGGUAGCAUAAUCAUUAGUCUUUUAAUUGAGGGCUGGAAUGAAUGGUUUGACAAAAUAAAAACUUUCUUAAAAUUAAAAGUAGAAUUUAAUUUUUGGGUAAAAAAGCUUAAAUUUAUUUUUGGGACGAGAAGACCCUAUAGAGUUGAAUAUUAAAAAUUAUUUGUUUUUGUUGGAAAUGUUUUUAAUUAUUAUUUUUAUUUUGUUGGGGUGACAAGAAGAUAAGUGAACUCUUUUUAUUAUUUUAUAUUGAUUUAUGAAUGCUUGAUCCAUUAUUAUUGAUUAAAAGACUAAAUUACC
Molecule: ribosomal RNA, 379 nt
Filed under: Thanatophyllum akinetum
Lineage: Eukaryota; Metazoa; Arthropoda; Insecta; Blattodea; Blaberidae
Description: partial 16S ribosomal RNA
Source: RNAcentral